AUGAAAAGGGUGUCUUUUCCCUCUGCCUCAACCCUCCCAAUAGUACAAAUAAAACCCCCCACAAGAUUAAAGAAGAGAGUUAAAGCAAGAAUCCUCAUGACAAGGGGUGGCUGGCUACUCUGGCAUCUUCAAGUCUGAGGUUGCUGUUUUCCAGGGGGUGAUGUGCAGGGGCAGACCUGCCUGACUUGGAUAUCAGCUUCUCCAUGAAAAUAUGCAGUGCCUAAAAUUUACACUGAUCAAUUUGUUCACGAGAAAGGACAUUUCUAAAAGAGCGAGGAGACUGACCCCAGAACCAAGAGGAGUACUGGAGAGCAGAAGAUGAAGAAAAACCUUUAAACAGCAGAGCAGUGAAGUGGAGGGAGAGGCGGCCCCUCUCCUUUGCCAGAGACUCCCACUCCCAGAUGCAGGCCCGAGCGAUCCCUCAUAAUUUAAGCUGACACCCCUCAGCGGAGAUGAAAGGAACACCACUCGCUGCUCUCCAACAACAAAUGUCAGCAUCCCUGGAGGCCAUUUAGACACAAACGCAGCAUAAAUCUGACUCCUAGUGGGGAAGUCCAGAGAUUAAGUCUCCAUGCACAGCCUACCAGAGUGAAAUGAAUUUGCUUGGCACAAAGUUUGAACGUGUUUCUCAGGGCCUUUCUUUCCCCUUUCUUGUAAAAAAAAAUCUGGAACGGUU
RNAcentral lists this non-coding RNA (676 nucleotides) under Pongo abelii (Sumatran orangutan). Lineage: Eukaryota; Metazoa; Chordata; Mammalia; Primates; Hominidae. The record is from RNAcentral.